AUGCUGCAGGAGAGGAAGGUACUGCAGGAGUACUAGUGGUAUUAUGCUGCAGGAGAUGAGGGUACUACAGUAGUACUAGUGGUAUUAUGCUGCAGGAGAUGAGGGUACUACAGUAGUACUAGUGGUAUUAUGCUGCAGGAGAGGAAGGUACUGCAGGAGUACUAGUGGUAUUAUGCUGCAGGAGAAGAGGGUACUGCAGUAGUACUAGUGGUAUUAUCCUGCAGGAGAUGAGGGUAGUACUAGUGGUAUUAUGCUGCAGGAGAGGAAGGUACUGCAGUAGUACUAGUGGUAUUACGAUGCACAAGAGGAAGGUACUGCAGUAGUACUAGUGGUAUUACGAUGCACGAGAGGAAGGUACUGCAGUAGUACUAGUAGUAUUGUGAUGCAGGAGAGGAGGGUGUUUUAGUAGUACUAGUGGUAUUACGAUGCACGAGAUGAGGGUACUGCAGUAGUACUAGUGGUAUUACGAUGCACGAGAGGAAGGUACUGCAGUAGUACUAGUGGUAUUACGAUGCACGAGAUGAGGGUACUGCAGUAGUACUAGUGGUAUUGUGAUGC
Gasterosteus aculeatus aculeatus (three-spined stickleback) is the source of this 558-nucleotide long non-coding RNA. The record is from Ensembl. Lineage: Eukaryota; Metazoa; Chordata; Actinopteri; Perciformes; Gasterosteidae.